AACGAACGCUGGCGGCAUGCCUAACACAUGCAAGUCGAACGAGACCUUCGGGUCUAGUGGCGCACGGGUGCGUAACGCGUGGGAACCUGCCCUUAGGUUCGGAAUAACUCCCCGAAAGGGGUGCUAAUACCGGAUAAUGUCUUCGGACCAAAGAUUUAUCGCCUUUGGAUGGGCCCGCGUUGGAUUAGCUAGUUGGUAGGGUAAAAGCCUACCAAGGCGACGAUCCAUAGCUGGUCUGAGAGGAUGAUCAGCCACACUGGGACUGAGACACGGCCCAGACUCCUACGGGAGGCAGCAGUGGGGAAUAUUGGACAAUGGGCGAAAGCCUGAUCCAGCAAUGCCGGGGGAGUGAUGAAGGCCUUAGGGUUGUAAAGCUCUUUUACCCGGGAUGAUAAUGACAGUACCGGGAGAAUAAGCCCCGGCUAACUCCGU
RNAcentral lists this ribosomal RNA (432 nucleotides) under uncultured bacterium. Its description in RNAcentral is "partial 16S ribosomal RNA". It matches the Rfam family "Bacterial small subunit ribosomal RNA", at positions 29 to 506 of the family's 1533-position model. The record is from RNAcentral.